Molecule: transfer RNA, 77 nt
Filed under: Dallia pectoralis (Alaska blackfish)
Lineage: Eukaryota; Metazoa; Chordata; Actinopteri; Esociformes; Umbridae
Description: tRNA-OTHER
Rfam family: tRNA
About the family: Transfer RNA (tRNA) molecules are approximately 80 nucleotides in length.
Source: RNAcentral
GACCAUGUGGCCUAAUGGAUAAUGGAUAAGUCUGACUUCGAAUCAGAAGAUUCAGAGUCCGAGUCCCUUCAUGGUUA